GAGGGUGUAGCUCAGUGGUAGGACACGUGCCUAACAUGCACAAAGUCCUGGGUUCAAUCCCCAGCACCUCCA
This 72-nucleotide transfer RNA is filed under the name Camelus bactrianus (Bactrian camel). It matches the Rfam family "tRNA". From Rfam's summary of the family: Transfer RNA (tRNA) molecules are approximately 80 nucleotides in length. RNAcentral also lists the same sequence under 2 other names. The record is from Rfam by way of RNAcentral. Lineage: Eukaryota; Metazoa; Chordata; Mammalia; Artiodactyla; Camelidae.